Molecule: transfer RNA, 72 nt
Filed under: Bos taurus (domestic cattle)
Lineage: Eukaryota; Metazoa; Chordata; Mammalia; Artiodactyla; Bovidae
Also listed under: 2 other names
Rfam family: tRNA
About the family: Transfer RNA (tRNA) molecules are approximately 80 nucleotides in length. Their secondary structure includes four short double-helical elements and three loops (D, anti-codon, and T loops). Further hydrogen bonds mediate the characteristic L-shaped molecular structure. tRNAs have two regions of fundamental functional importance: the anti-codon, which is responsible for specific mRNA codon recognition, and the 3' end, to which the tRNAs corresponding amino acid is attached (by aminoacyl-tRNA synthetases). tRNAs cope with the degeneracy of the genetic code in two manners: having more than one tRNA (with a specific anti-codon) for a particular amino acid; and 'wobble' base-pairing, i.e. permitting non-standard base-pairing at the 3rd anti-codon position.
Source: Rfam by way of RNAcentral
UCCCGGGUGGCUUAGCUGGUAAAGAAUCUGCCUGCAAUGCAGGAGACCUGGGUUCAAUCCCUGGGUUGGGAA